This 409-nucleotide ribosomal RNA is filed under the name Actinomycetes bacterium. Its description in RNAcentral is "Actinobacteria bacterium partial 16S ribosomal RNA". It matches the Rfam family "Bacterial small subunit ribosomal RNA", at positions 355 to 776 of the family's 1533-position model. The record is from RNAcentral. Lineage: Bacteria; Bacillati; Actinomycetota; Actinomycetes.
UGGGGAAUAUUGCACAAUGGGCGCAAGCCUGAUGCAGCGACGCCGCGUGAGGGAUGACGGCCUUCGGGUUGUAAACCUCUUUCAGCUCCGACGAAGCGCAAGUGACGGUAGGAGCAGAAUAAGCACCGGCCAACUACGUGCCAGCAGCCGCGGUAAUACGUAGGGUGCAAGCGUUGUCCGGAAUUACUGGGCGUAAAGAGCUCGUAGGCGGUUUGUCGCGUCGUCUGUGAAAUUCUGCAGCUUAACUGCAGGCGUGCAGGCGAUACGGGAAGACUUGAGUACUACAGGGGAGACUGGAAUUCCUGGUGUAGCGGUGAAAUGCGCAGAUAUCAGGAGGAACACCGGUGGCGAAGGCGGGUCUCUGGGUAGUAACUGACGCUGAGGAGCGAAAGCGUGGGUAGCGAACAGG